RNAcentral lists this ribosomal RNA (253 nucleotides) under uncultured bacterium. RNAcentral's name for it is "partial 16S ribosomal RNA". It matches the Rfam family "Bacterial small subunit ribosomal RNA", at positions 524 to 776 of the family's 1533-position model. The record is from RNAcentral.
CACGUAGGAGGCAAGCGUUAUCCGGAAUUACUGGGCGUAAAGAGCGUGUAGGCGGCACGGUAAGUCAACCGCGAAAGCUCCCGGCUAAACUGGGAGAGGUCGGAUGAGACUGCCGAGCUAGAGGGUCGUAGAGGGGUGUGGAAUUCCGGGUGUAGUGGUGAAAUGCGUAGAGAUCCGGAGGAACACCAGAGGCGAAGGCGGCACCCUGGACGACACCAGACGCUGAGACGCGACAGCACGGGGAGCGAACGGG